GGAAUAUUGGUCAAUGGGCGUAAGCCUGAACCAGCCAAGUAGCGUGCAGGAUGACGGCCCUAUGGGUUGUAAACUGCUUUUAUGCGGGGAUAAAGUGAGGGACGUGUCUCUUUUUGUAUGUACCGCAUGAAUAAGGACCGGCUAAUUCCGUGCCAGCAGCCGCGGUAAUACGGAAGGUCCGGGCGUUAUCCGGAUUUAUUGGGUUUAAAGGGAGCGCAGGCGGAGGAUUAAGCGUGAAGUGAAAUGUCCCGGCUCAACCGUGGAACUGCGUCGCGAACUGGUUUUCUUGAGUAAGUGCGAGGCCGGCGGAAUUCGUGGUGUAGCGGUGAAAUGCUUAGAUAUCACGAAGAACCCCGAUUGCGAAGGCAGCCGGCCAGUCCUUAACUGACGCUAAAGCUCGAAAGUGCGGGUAUCGAACA
This 419-nucleotide ribosomal RNA is filed under the name uncultured Prevotella sp. RNAcentral's name for it is "bacterial SSU rRNA". It matches the Rfam family "Bacterial small subunit ribosomal RNA", at positions 358 to 774 of the family's 1533-position model. The record is from RNAcentral. Lineage: Bacteria; Pseudomonadati; Bacteroidota; Bacteroidia; Bacteroidales; Prevotellaceae.